Molecule: ribosomal RNA, 253 nt
Filed under: uncultured bacterium
Lineage: Bacteria
Description: partial 16S ribosomal RNA
Rfam family: Bacterial small subunit ribosomal RNA
Source: RNAcentral
UACGAAGGGGGCUAGCGUUGCUCGGAAUUACUGGGCGUAAAGGGAGCGUAGGCGGACAUUUAAGUCAGGGGUGAAAUCCCAGAGCUCAACUCUGGAACUGCCUUUGAUACUGGGUGUCUUGAGUAUGAGAGAGGUAUGUGGAACUCCGAGUGUAGAGGUGAAAUUCGUAGAUAUUCGGAAGAACACCAGUGGCGAAGGCGACAUACUGGCUCAUUACUGACGCUGAGGCUCGAAAGCGUGGGGAGCAAACAGG